AUCAGCUUCGUGUUAUAGUUCCUUUACCUCUUCUUGGUUUGAGAAAGUGCUUUCCACAUGGUGUCAUUAAGGCUCUCACCGCCGUUUUUCUCCAAUCAAAACCUUACAGACCACAUGAGAUUACUUCUUGGUUUUUCCUUGAAAUUGAUCUGAAUCGGUGUUGGCCCUGCUUUGGUUGCAGACUUACCUCCCUCAUCGACUCUACACAAGUGGUUUCUUGUUUGUGUCCUAAUAUGUGCAACCAUCUUCAAUUAAAGAAGAAAACCCUCAAUCAGGUUCUAAGAUAAUGAAAUCUGAUGAAGAACUAGCUCGAAUGUUUCGGUUAUGGAAAGAAAACCAUUCAUCAACCUCAAUUUAGUCAGCAGAUUAUUAAAAUUUUCUGAAACCGUUUAUCCAUCUGUUCUUUUUGAUUUUUGUUAAAUUUUUUAAAGAUUUAUAUAAAUUUUCGACUGUUUCAUUUUAGGGAUCAUUUUCAAUUUGUUGGAGUUUUAGUAUUGUUAUAAAAAACAAUAACUUCGAGUCCCCGUUUAUGGUUUGAUUUCAAGAACGACAGGAUGAGUUGGAAGAGAAAAACAAGUUCAUGUUGCUUCAUGAUUUUUAUAGUCAGAGGGAACCAUAAAGGGUAACAGAUGUUAUUUAUAGUUUUCCACUUGCAACCAAGGUCAAACAUGUAAAUAAACGUAGCAGAAGGAAGAAGGGGAGUUGUAUAGUACCUAUUUGCAGAAGGGAUUACACGUGUACGUUGAAAAGGAAGAGACCUGGUGCAAUUUUUUCCUUUUGUGACGAUCAAAAUCUAAUGUUUUGUAUAUUUAGUUUGAUAAAUUGCAGAUUACAGAGACGAAGAGAGAAGAACAGUUGUUGCUGAAGUUAUUUUGCUUUAUAUGAAACUGAUAUGUGGGGGAAAUAGUACAUCAAAGUCUAUGAAGGAAAAAUGAGUGAAGGAAUGAUGUUCGGUCCAAGCUCUAAUGUCAUGCAAUGCAAGUUAGAUUAACAUUCCUACUGAAUGGAUUGAACAAUUUGAUUCAUGGAUUCAGGUGAGCUUUCGAUGAUUUUUUGGGUAUUCAUAUGAUUGUAUGUGUUUUAAAGUAAAUAAAAUUCGGUCGGGUUUUCCUGGGUUUGCUAAAAAUGGUAAUUGUUUCCAAAAUUGUCUAAUUUUUUUGGGUUUGGUUUCAUGUAUUUCUUUGUGCUU
Molecule: non-coding RNA, 1189 nt
Organism: Lactuca sativa (garden lettuce)
Lineage: Eukaryota; Viridiplantae; Streptophyta; Magnoliopsida; Asterales; Asteraceae
Source: RefSeq, a predicted model, not a curated record